CCUACGGGAGGCAGCAGUGAGGAAUAUUGGUCAAUGGGCGGAAGCCUGAACCAGCCAAGCAGCGUGCAGGAUGACGGCCCUACGGGUUGUAAACUGCUUUUAUACGGGAAUAACGCGCCUUACGUGUAGGGCUUUGCAUGUACCGUAUGAAUAAGGACCGGCUAAUUCCGUUCCAGCAGCCGCGGUAAUACGGAAGGGCCGGGCGUUAUCCGGAUUUAUUGGGUUUUAAGGGAGCGUAGGCCGCAUGUCAAGUGUGUGGUUAAAUGUCCGGGCUCAACCCGGGCCUUGCAGCGCGAACUGGCGUGCUUGAGUCCGCGGAAAGCAGGCGGAAUUCGUCGUGUAGCGGUGAAAUGCUUAGAUAUGACGAAGAACCCCGAUUGCGAAGGCAGCUUGAUGCAGCGGAACUGACGCUGAUGCUCGAAAGCGCGGGUAUCGAACAGGAUUAGAUACCCUAGUAGUC
RNAcentral lists this ribosomal RNA (460 nucleotides) under uncultured bacterium. Its description in RNAcentral is "partial 16S ribosomal RNA". It matches the Rfam family "Bacterial small subunit ribosomal RNA", at positions 338 to 795 of the family's 1533-position model. The record is from RNAcentral.